CUGCAGUGACAUCAUGACUGCCCAGCCAAACAUUCAGUCCUGGUCUCCGUCAAAGCUAGCCGAACUCACCAAACUCCAGCUGCUUAAUAUCACAUCUGAAAGCGACCUCCCCGUGGACCACGAGCUCCACCAUGUUCCACUCGCGCGUUUCUUCCAGGACGCACUGGUGCCCGCGUGCUCUCAGAGCGGCUGUGGACAUAUUAGACGGACAAUGUUUGACCUCAUGUAAAAAAGUCAAAGCAGAAGACAACACGCGGAAGAGACACAUACCCUGGAGACCCUGCAGACGGAGAGUCCGGGGUUUGACGAUCCCACAAGAUUCAUAAGAGCUUGUGCCUCUCCUUGAGAUGAAGUCUGGGUUUGAGCCUCCACUGUGGUCUGCGCAGCUGUUCUCAGUGCAACAUGAGGCAGUGUCUGCUGGUUCUUGCUCAGGACUUUCACGGAAACUGGACACGCAGAAGAUGAUGUGGUCUGACUGAGGGUUGUAGCACGCUCCGUAUCCAUUUGGAACCACAGGACCGUAACAGCAGAACAUCUCUACAGUAGUAGGAACCUGAAAGAAGAGUAAAUCCUGCUUACAGCUUUGCUAGUAUGUCCAAAUGUUGCUGUAGGAGGAAAGGCAAGACUAUCCAUAGAUGUCUGUUGUAAAUUUAAACUACAGUUCUGACCUUAAUAACCCACCUGCACCAAAUAAAAACAUCUUUGUGUUUUUA
Molecule: long non-coding RNA, 713 nt
Organism: Notolabrus celidotus (New Zealand spotty)
Lineage: Eukaryota; Metazoa; Chordata; Actinopteri; Labriformes; Labridae
Exons: 3
Source: RefSeq, a predicted model, not a curated record